UACGAAGGGUGCUAGCGUUGUUCGGAAUCACUGGGCGUAAAGCGCGCGUAGGCGGUGCUGCAAGUCAGGGGUGAAAUCCCGGGGCUCAACCUCGGAAUUGCCUUUGAAACUGCAGUGCUAGAGUGUCGGAGGGGAUAGCGGAAUUGCUAAUGUAGAGGUGAAAUUCGUAGAUAUUAGCAGGAACACCGGUGGCGAAGGCGGCUAUCUGGACGACAACUGACGCUGAGGCGCGAAAGCGUGGGGAUCAAACAGG
Molecule: unclassified non-coding RNA, 253 nt
Filed under: uncultured Rickettsiales bacterium
Lineage: Bacteria; Pseudomonadati; Pseudomonadota; Alphaproteobacteria; Rickettsiales
Description: contains 16S-23S intergenic spacer region
Rfam family: Bacterial small subunit ribosomal RNA
Source: RNAcentral